UAACCAUGCAGUCGAGCGGAUGAGAGGAGCUUGCUCCUCGAUUCAGCGGCGGACGGGUGAGUAAUGCCUAGGAAUCUGCCUAGUAGUGGGGGACAACGUUUCGAAAGGAACGCUAAUACCGCAUACGUCCUACGGGAGAAAGUGGGGGAUCUUCGGACCUCACGCUAUUAGAUGAGCCUAGGUCGGAUUAGCUAGUUGGUGGGGUAAAGGCCUACCAAGGCGACGAUCCGUAACUGGUCUGAGAGGAUGAUCAGUCACACUGGAACUGAGACACGGUCCAGACUCCUACGGGAGGCAGCAGUGGGGAAUAUUGGACAAUGGGCGAAAGCCUGAUCCAGCCAUGCCGCGUGUGUGAAGAAGGCCUUCGGGUCGUAAAGCACUUUAAGUUGGGAGGAAGGGCUCAUAGCGAAUACCUGUGAGUUUUGACGUUACCAAUAAAAUAAGCACCGGUUAAUUUU
This 458-nucleotide ribosomal RNA is filed under the name Pseudomonas oryzihabitans. RNAcentral's name for it is "bacterial SSU rRNA". It matches the Rfam family "Bacterial small subunit ribosomal RNA", at positions 49 to 504 of the family's 1533-position model. Lineage: Bacteria; Pseudomonadati; Pseudomonadota; Gammaproteobacteria; Pseudomonadales; Pseudomonadaceae. The record is from RNAcentral.